GAUGAACGCUGGCUACAGGCUUAACACAUGCAAGUCGAGGGGAAACGACGGGGAAGCUUGCUUCCCCGGGCGUCGACCGGCGCACGGGUGAGUAACGCGUAUCCAACCUGCCUCUGACUGAGGGAUAACCCGUCGAAAGUCGGCCUAAUACCUCAUGGUAUCGUCUGCGGGCAUCCAACGACGAUUAAAGAUUUCAUCGGUCAGGGAUGGGGAUGCGUCUGAUUAGCUUGUUGGCGGGGUAACGGCCCACCAAGGCUACGAUCAGUAGGGGUUCUGAGAGGAAGGUCCCCCACAUUGGAACUGAGACACGGUCCAAACUCCUACGGGAGGCAGCAGUGAGGAAUAUUGAUCAAUGGGCGAGAGCCUGAACCAGCCAAGUAGCGUGCAGGAAGACGGCCCUAUGGGUUGUAAACUGCUUUUAUGCGGGGAUAAAGUGAGGGACGUGUCCCUCAUUGCAGGUACCGCAUGAAUAAGGACCGGCUAAUUCCGUG
RNAcentral lists this ribosomal RNA (491 nucleotides) under uncultured bacterium. RNAcentral's name for it is "partial 16S ribosomal RNA". It matches the Rfam family "Bacterial small subunit ribosomal RNA", at positions 28 to 507 of the family's 1533-position model. The record is from RNAcentral.